UGCCUGCGGGUGAUCAGCCGGUAUUCUUACCGGUGCACUCACCCGUGGUCAGGCCAGCAUCGGUUUGGGUGGCUGGAUAAAGUCCACUGGAAUGUAGCUCUUCUCGGGGAGUGUUAUAGCCAGAGGUGCCAUGCAGCCCGCCCGGACCGAGGACCGCGCUUCGGCUAGGAUGCUGGCGUAAUGGUUGUAAGCGACCCGUCUUGAAACACGGACCAAGGAGUUUAACAUCUAUGCGAGUGUUUGGGUGUCAAACCCAUGCGCGUAAUGAAAGUGAACGGAGGUGGGAACCCUCAAGGGUGCACCAUCGACCGAUCCUGAUGUCUUCGGAUGGAUUUGAGUAAGAGCAUAGCUGUUGGGACCCGAAAGAUGGUGAACUAUGCCUGAAUAGGGUGAAGCCAGAGGAAACUCUGGUGGAGGUUCGCAGCGGUUCUGACGUGCAAAUCGAUCGUCAAAUUUGGGUAUAGGGGCGAAAGAUUAAUCGAACCAUUUGCUACUAGAUGGUAUACGGGCCUGCGUGCCCCAGUAGUCCCUGCGAGGCGGGGGCGACAUCGUCGGUCUCUUCGGGAACGCCUCUGGGCUACCUGCAGUGAGCCUCGGGCUCAUUCACAGACUAAGUGGCGGUGGCCGUGCCCUGGAGCACGG
Molecule: ribosomal RNA, 642 nt
Filed under: Acarospora applanata
Lineage: Eukaryota; Fungi; Ascomycota; Lecanoromycetes; Acarosporales; Acarosporaceae
Description: partial large subunit ribosomal RNA
Rfam family: Eukaryotic large subunit ribosomal RNA
Source: RNAcentral